This 1087-nucleotide ribosomal RNA is filed under the name Dothideomycetes sp. genotype 646 JMUR-2016. RNAcentral describes it as "eukaryotic LSU rRNA". The stretch from base 500 to 1087 matches the Rfam family "Eukaryotic large subunit ribosomal RNA", at positions 1 to 589 of the family's 3401-position model. The record is from RNAcentral. Lineage: Eukaryota; Fungi; Ascomycota; Dothideomycetes.
CUAUUUAUAGGAUUAGCUGCUCCGUCCCAUGUGGCCUGUAAAAAGGAAUCCUGCACCGCCCACCCUUGUUAAUUAAAUUUAACGUUACCUUGGUAGGCCAGCCUACCAGUGGACAAACAAAAUUCUUUUAAACAACGCUGUAAUUAGUUUAUUUUCUGAUAAAUUUUUAAAAUUUAAAACUUUCAACAACGGAUCUCUUGGUUCUGGCAUCGAUGAAGAACGCAGCGAAAUGCGAUAAGUAGUGUGAAUUGCAGAAUUCAGUGAAUCAUCGAAUCUUUGAACGCACAUUGCGCCCCUCGGUAUCCCGGGGGGCAUGCCUGUUCGAGCGUCAUUUCUACCAUUCAAGCUUUGCUUGGUUUUGGGUAUUGUAGCACUCUUAACCUGGAGUUUUACAUACCUUAAAUGUAGACGGCAGCAAGUAUAUUAGUUCUGAGCGUAGCAGUAAUAAAUUUCGCUUUUAGACACUAUAUUUGUUAACCGGAAAAGUAUAUCUACAGUUUGACCUCGGAUCAGGCAGGGAUACCCGCUGAACUUAAGCAUAUCAAUAAGCGGAGGAAAAGAAACCAACAGGGAUUGCCUUAGUAACGGCGAGUGAAGCGGCAAUAGCUCAAAUUUGAAAUCUGGCACCUUUGGGUGUCCGAGUUGUAAUUUGUAGAGGAUGUUUCGGUAUUGGCUCUAAUCUAAGUCCCUUGGAACAGGGUGUCAUAGAGGGUGAGAGUCCCGUAUGUGAUUAGUUGUCUUUGCCAUGUGAAACUCCUUCGACGAGUCGAGUUGUUUGGGAAUGCAGCUCUAAUUGGGAGGUAAAUUUCUUCUAAAGCUAAAUACUGGCCAGAGACCGAUAGCGCACAAGUAGAGUGAUCGAAAGAUGAAAAGCACUUUGGAAAGAGAGUUAAACAGUACGUGAAAUUGUUGAAAGGGAAGCGCUUGCAAUCAGACCUGCUUGCAGUUGUUCAUCUAAGCCUUCGGGCCUAGUGCAUUCUUCUGUAAGUCAGGCCAGUAUCAGUUCAGGCGGUUGGAUAAAGAAUUCAGGAAUGUAGCUCCUUUCGGGGAGUGUUAUAGCCUGUUUUGUAAUGCAGCCAGCCUGGAU